Molecule: ribosomal RNA, 253 nt
Filed under: uncultured bacterium
Lineage: Bacteria
Description: partial 16S ribosomal RNA
Rfam family: Bacterial small subunit ribosomal RNA
Source: RNAcentral
UACGUAGGGGGCAAGCGUUGUCCGGAUUUAUUGGGCGUAAAGAGCUCGUAGGCGGCUUGUCGCGUCGAAUGUGAAAUCUCAGGGCUCAACUCUGACAUUGCAUUCGAUACGGGCAGGCUAGAGUUCGGUAGGGGAGACUGGAAUUCCUGGUGUAGCGGUGAAAUGCGCAGAUAUCAGGAGGAACACCAACGGCGAAGGCAGCUCGCUGGGACGGUACUGACGCUAAGGCGCGAAAGCGUGGGGAGCGAACAGG